AACGAACGUUGGCGGCGUGGAUUAGGCAUGCAAGUCGAACGCGAAUCCCUGGGCAACUGGGGAGGAGAGUGGCGAAAGGGGCAGUAAGGCGUGGGUAACCUACCCUCCGGGCCGGGAUAGCUUCGGGAAACUGAAGGUAAUACCGGGCGACGCAGCGAGAUCGCAUGGUCUUGCUGCCAAAGGUCCGCCGCCGGGGGAGGGGCUCACGUGGUAUUAGCUAGACGGCGGGGUAACGGCCCACCGUGGCAAAGAUGCCUAGCAGGUGUGAGAGCACGACCUGCGCCACUGGCACUGAGACACUGGACAGACACCUACGGGUGGCUGCAGUCGAGGAUCUUCGGCAAUGGGCGCAAGCCUGACCGAGCGACGCCGCGUGUGCGAUGAAGGCCUUCGGGUUGUAAAGCACUGUCGAGGGGGAGGAAGCCGCAAGGUUGACCUAUCCCUGGAGGAAGCACGGGCUAAGUUCGUG
RNAcentral lists this ribosomal RNA (469 nucleotides) under uncultured bacterium. RNAcentral's name for it is "partial 16S ribosomal RNA". It matches the Rfam family "Bacterial small subunit ribosomal RNA", at positions 28 to 507 of the family's 1533-position model. The record is from RNAcentral.